RNAcentral lists this transfer RNA (84 nucleotides) under Gymnopus androsaceus JB14. It matches the Rfam family "tRNA". From Rfam's summary of the family: Transfer RNA (tRNA) molecules are approximately 80 nucleotides in length. The record is from Rfam by way of RNAcentral. Lineage: Eukaryota; Fungi; Basidiomycota; Agaricomycetes; Agaricales; Omphalotaceae.
GGGCACAUGGUGUAGUUGGUUAUCACAUCCGCUUAGCAUUUAGUGCAUUGCGGGGGGUGCUGGGUUCAAUUCCCAGUGUGUCCA